RNAcentral lists this ribosomal RNA (253 nucleotides) under uncultured bacterium. RNAcentral's name for it is "partial 16S ribosomal RNA". It matches the Rfam family "Bacterial small subunit ribosomal RNA", at positions 524 to 776 of the family's 1533-position model. The record is from RNAcentral.
UACGGAGGGGACUAGCGUUGUUCUGAAUCACUGGGCAUCAAGCGCACGUAGGUGGUGUCGUAAGUCGGGUGUGAAAUCCCUCGGCCUAACCGAGGAACUGCGCCCGAUACUGCGAUGCUUGAGGAUCAGAGGGGUGCAUGGAAUUUCCGGUGGAGCGGUGAAAUGCGUUGAUAUCGGAAGGAACUCCGGCGGCGAAAGCGAUGCACUGGCUGAUUUCUGACACUGAGGUGCGAAAGCCAGGGGAGCAAACGGG